This 277-nucleotide unclassified non-coding RNA is filed under the name Hevea brasiliensis (rubber tree). The record is from RNAcentral. Lineage: Eukaryota; Viridiplantae; Streptophyta; Magnoliopsida; Malpighiales; Euphorbiaceae.
AGAUUAAAGGAUUUCAACAUAAAAGAUAGGACAAAGGGUCCAAACAAAAAUUAUACCGAGGAGUUACCUGUUCUUGUACAUGAUAAUCUAUUGGAGAUUCAUUUCCUUUGGGCCGGCAAAGGAACAUCUCCAUUAUAUCCUCCAUUUCUCAAUGGACCUCUUAUAUCAGCUAUUGCUGUAACCCCAGACUUCAAAGUUGACGGAGAGAAGCUCUCUCCUAGACAAAUAGCAGGGAUUGUUGCAGGUGCUGUAUUGACUCCAUUGCUUGUAUUGGCAU